UGCAUGUCUCAGUACAAGCCAAAUUAAGGUGAAACCGCGAAAGGCUCAUUAAAUCAGUUAUGGUUCCUUAGAUCGUACCCACAUUUACUUGGAUAACUGUGGUAAUUCUAGAGCUAAUACAUGCAAACAGAGCUCCGACCGGAGACGGAAGGAGCGCUUUUAUUAGAUCAAAACCAAUCGGUGGCGGGCUUGCUCGUCAUCGUAAUACUUGGUGACUCUGAAUAACUUUACGCUGAUCGCACGGUCUCGCACCGGCGACGCAUCUUUCAAAUGUCUGCCUUAUCAACUGUCGAUGGUAGGUUCUGCGCCUACCAUGGUUGUAACGGGUAACGGGGAAUCAGGGUUCGAUUCCGGAGAGGGAGCCUGAGAAACGGCUACCACAUCCAAGGAAGGCAGCAGGCGCGCAAAUUACCCACUCCCGGCACGGGGAGGUAGUGACGAAAAAUAACGAUACGGGACUCAUCCGAGGCCCCGUAAUCGGAAUGAGUACACUCUAAACCCUUUAACGAGGAUCAAUUGGAGGGCAAGUCUGGUGCCAGCAGCCGCGGUAAUUCCAGCUCCAAUAGCGUAUAUUAAAGUUGUUGCGGUUAAAAAGCUCGUAGUCGAAUCUGUGUCCCGCGCCGCUGGUUCAUCGUACGCGGUGUCAACUGGCGUGCCGCGGGACGUCCUGCCGGUGGGCUUAGCUCGCAAGGGCGGCCCAACUCAAUCCCGCCGCGGUGCUCUUCACUGAGUGUCGAGGUGGGCCGGCACGUUUACUUUGAACAAAUUAGAGUGCUUAAAGCAGGCUAAAACUUCGCCUGAAUACUGUGUGCAUGGAAUAAUGGAAUAGGACCUCGGUUCUAUUUUGUUGGUUUUCGGAACCCCGAGGUAAUGAUUAAUAGGAACGGAUGGGGGCAUUCGUAUUGCGACGUUAGAGGUGAAAUUCUUGGAUCGUCGCAAGACGGACAGAAGCGAAAGCAUUUGCCAAAAACGCUUUCAUUGAUCAAGAACGAAAGUUAGAGGUUCGAAGGCGAUCAGAUACCGCCCUAGUUCUAACCAUAAACGAUGCCAGCUAGCGAUCCGCCGACGUUCCUCCGAUGACUCGGCGGGCAGCUUCCGGGAAACCAAAGCUUUUGGGUUCCGGGGGAAGUAUGGUUGCAAAGCUGAAACUUAAAGGAAUUGACGGAAGGGCACCACCAGGAGUGGAGCCUGCGGCUUAAUUUGACUCAACACGGGAAACCUCACCAGGCCCGGACACCGGAAGGAUUGACAGAUUGAGAGCUCUUUCUUGAUUCGGUGGGUGGUGGUGCAUGGCCGUUCUUAGUUGGUGGAGCGAUUUGUCUGGUUAAUUCCGAUAACGAACGAGACUCUA
This 1351-nucleotide ribosomal RNA is filed under the name Glyptina cyanipennis. RNAcentral describes it as "SSU rRNA". It matches the Rfam family "Eukaryotic small subunit ribosomal RNA", at positions 52 to 1345 of the family's 1831-position model. The record is from RNAcentral. Lineage: Eukaryota; Metazoa; Arthropoda; Insecta; Coleoptera; Chrysomelidae.